AGAGUUUGAUCAUGGCUCAGGAUGAACGCUAGCGGCAGGCCUAAUACAUGCAAGUCGAGGGGUAGAGGAGAGCUUGCUUUCCUUGAGACCGGCGCACGGGUGCGUAACGCGUAUGCAACCUACCUUUAUCAGGGGGAUCGCCCGAAGAAAUUCGGAUUAACACCGCAUAAAAUCACAGUAUCGCAUGAUACAAUGAUCAAAUAUUUAUAGGAUAAAGAUGGGCAUGCGUGUCAUUAGUUAGUUGGCGGGGUAACGGCCCACCAAGACCACGAUGACUAGGGGAUCUGAGAGGAUGACCCCCCACACUGGUACUGAGACACGGACCAGACUCCUACGGGAGGCAGCAGUAAGGAAUAUUGGUCAAUGGAGGCAACUCUGAACCAGCCAUGCCGCGUGCAGGAAGACGGCCCUCUGGGUUGUAAACUGCUUUUAUUCGGGAAUAAACCUAUCUACGUGUAGAUAGCUGAAUGUACCGAAGGAAUAAGGAUCGGCUAACUCCGUGCCAGCAGCCGCGGUAAUACGGAGGAUCCAAGCGUUAUCCGGAUUUAUUGGGUCUUAAAGGGUGCGUAGGCGGGCCUAUUAAGUCAGGGGUGAAAGACGGUAGCUCAACUAUCGCAGUGCCCUUGAUACUGAUGGGCUUGAAUGAACUAGAGGUAGGCGGAAUGUGACAAGUAGCGGUGAAAUGCAUAGAUAUGUCACAGAACACCGAUUGCGAAGGCAGCUUACUAUGGUUUUAUUGACGCUGAGGCACGAAAGCGUGGGGAUCAAACAGGAUUAGAUACCCUGGUAGUCCACGCCCUAAACGAUGAAUACUCGCUGUUGGCGAUACACAGUCAGCGGCUAAGCGAAAGCGUUAGUAUUCACCUGGGGAGUACGCUCGCAAGAGUGAAACUCAAGGUAUUGACGGCGGCCCGCA
This 916-nucleotide ribosomal RNA is filed under the name uncultured Pedobacter sp. RNAcentral's name for it is "bacterial SSU rRNA". It matches the Rfam family "Bacterial small subunit ribosomal RNA", at positions 8 to 925 of the family's 1533-position model. The record is from RNAcentral. Lineage: Bacteria; Pseudomonadati; Bacteroidota; Sphingobacteriia; Sphingobacteriales; Sphingobacteriaceae.